ACCCCAACGACUAUGACAUCCCAUUUUCUCUUUGCUUACCCAACAAUACCCACUACUUUCAAAUUUCCAAUAUUCUUCUUCCACAGCCCCUCAGUCUUCCACCCUGUCAUAGACCAGAAUGGCAGCCACUUCUUUCUCCAGCAUCCCUCUGAUCUCUUCAUUGUACACCGUUACUAUUGUUGUUGAGGCUGCAACCUUUGAGCUCGAUGCCGAUCUGCUCACUUCUCCUCUCUUCGCUGCUGCUGUGCUCUCUACUCUCCCCUUUCGAGUCGCUAGCUCUGCA
This is a non-coding RNA of Arachis ipaensis, 283 nucleotides long. The record is from RefSeq and is a predicted model, not a curated record. NCBI's taxonomy places the organism in Eukaryota, Viridiplantae, Streptophyta, Magnoliopsida, Fabales, Fabaceae.